Molecule: ribosomal RNA, 645 nt
Filed under: uncultured bacterium
Lineage: Bacteria
Description: bacterial SSU rRNA
Rfam family: Bacterial small subunit ribosomal RNA
Source: RNAcentral
AGAGUUUGAUCCUGGCUCAGAUUGAACGCUGGCGGCAUGCCUUACACAUGCAAGUCGAACGGCAGCACGGGAGCAAUCCUGGCGGCGAGUGGCGAACGGGUGAGUAAUAUAUCGGAACGUGCCCAGUCGUGGGGGAUAACACAGCGAAAGCUGUGCUAAUACCGCAUACGAUCUCUGGAUGAAAGCGGGGGACUCGCAAGAGCCUCGCGCGAUUGGAGCGGCCGAUAUCAGAUUAGCUAGUUGGUGGGGUAAAAGCCCACCAAGGCGACGAUCUGUAGCUGGUCUGAGAGGACGACCAGCCACACUGGAACUGAGACACGGUCCAGACUCCUACGGGAGGCAGCAGUGGGGAAUUUUGGACAAUGGGCGAAAGCCUGAUCCAGCAAUGCCGCGUGCAGGAUGAAGGCCUUAGGGUUGUAAACUGCUUUUGUACGGAACGAAACGGCCCCUUUUAAUACGGGGGGCUAAUGACGGUACCGUAAGAAUAAGCACCGGCUAGCUACGUGCCAGCAGCCGCGGUAAUACGUAGGGUGCGAGCGUUAAUCGGAAUUACUGGGCGUAAAGCGUGCGCAGGCGGUUAUAUAAGACAGAUGCGAAAUCCCCGGGCUCAACCUGGGACCUGCAUUUGUGACUGUAUAGCUAGAG